Lucilia cuprina (Australian sheep blowfly) is the source of this 982-nucleotide long non-coding RNA. RefSeq lists it as uncharacterized. The record is from RefSeq and is a predicted model, not a curated record. The transcript has 3 exons. Lineage: Eukaryota; Metazoa; Arthropoda; Insecta; Diptera; Calliphoridae.
UAAAGUGUAGAAUGCUGUUUGCAAGUGCCGUUCAAGAAUCAUUUCAUGGUAUUUUUCGUGCUUUUUCAUUUGAAGAUUUUGAAGUUUUUCUCUUUUUAGUUCAUUUUUGUUUGACAUAACAAGGGCAGAAAAUUGACAACUCUCCCUAAUGAUUCUAUCUCUGUAUGGUUAUAUCAUGAUUCUAUUAUAAAAUAACAAAAAAAUUUUAAAGAAAUAAAAUUUUUUUUAAAAUAGUGUGAAUAGAUUUGAUAAUAGUUGAAAUUAAAGAAAAAAGUAUUUGAUUUAAAGAAAAACUUUCAUACUUAUUUCUUCCUAUUAAGGGAUAAUCAAAUCCCGAUCUUAAAGGAAAUAUUUAUUUGAAGCUUUUCAAGACACCCAUUUGUAUAUUUUAUCUGGUCAAAAUUCUGACAAAAUUCAAUUUACUAGAAAUUGUAAAAUAAUACGGAAAGUCGUGAUUGCGAAAUUAUUUUUAUCUUCGUGUUGUUGUUUUUGUGUUAUUCUUAAUAGUCUCAAGCUUAUCAACAUCUUUGUCAAUCUACCAAUUCUCAAUUGUUGCGAAAACACAUGCGUAUUCUUCUACAUCUCCAAGGAGAGAAGAAACAACAAAAGAAGAACCAGAAAAAAACAAUGAGAAACACUUAAUAUUAACUGCACAAUUAAAUUCUAUUUUAAUCGAAACAUCAUAAUAAAGCUUGAAGAAAAACAAAAUUUAAAGAAGAAUACAUUAAAAAAUAAUAAAAACAUAUAAAUUUCAAAUAAACUAAGUUUGGGAAUUCUACAAUUGCAAAAUUUGAAAUUAAAUCUGUGAUUGGCAUCUUAACAUUGGCACCAAAGUGAAACAUCAACCAAAAUUUGCGACAACAACUAAUUGCGAAGACAUCAACAAAUAAUAAAAAAAAAUUGUUUUAUAUAAAAAAGUUUAAAAAUAUCGCAGUAAAUAUUUUAUAAAUUUCAACUAAAUAAAUUGGAUAAUGCUUAAAAG